UCAGAUUUCAUACAAAGUUUAUUUAAUCAGAAAAAACUCCAACAGAUUAAUAGACUUUCUGCCACAAGGUCAGGUGGAAAGGGACUGGUGAUAAAUCUGUUUCAGUGUCUGAAGAAGUUCUACUUUCCUUUUGAGAAUCAGUUCAGAUUUACAACAUGCCAAAUGCACUGUUUUAGCACACUUAACAUGCAUGAAAAAUGUCUGAAAUACUAUGUAGUUAUUUUAAGCCUUUAAUUUGUCCUUAGCUUUUAUUUUCAGAAGGAAAGGACAGCAGGAGUUGAUAUGUGCAGAAAUUUCAUGCAGUGUGACAAAGCUCAUUGCACUGUAGUCAAUAUUGAUAUUCUCUUGACAGUUAUUACCAUAUUCAGUAGCCCCUAGGGUCCUAUUUAGGAGUAUGGACUGUAUUAUUCAAGGCACCAAAUAAACAUGCAUCAAUAAGAACCUAUAUCUCAUCUUCGGUUUAGUACAAGAGAAAUGGAAACAGAAAAGUUGGGGGUCUGAAUAAGCACUUUCUGCACAAACUAAUAACCAAUCUUUUUAGCUUUCUACUCUAAAGGACUAGGAUUUCAUUAACAGCAUACUCUUUCCUCAGUACCCUUCUUAUUACUUUAUUUUAAAGUUAAUUUUUUAUGCCAGACAGAUGGAGCUUGAUAUGAAUGAUUUGGACACUGCCUUUGACUCUGCACAGCCAAGAAAAACUGAUGUGACAGCCACAGAAUUCAGGGACUACUCCUUUCCUCGUGUCCUCCAAUGAAUACGCUGAAGUCUGCAAGGUAAAAGUAGGCACCCAGUGUUUGUUUACCAUCAGCUAACAAGAUGCUGCCCAUUCUGAUAGAACAGGGGACAAAGUAGUGUAAGGUUAUAGCUGAUUACUACCUGACUGGUUCAAAAGAGUUAUACAUUUCAAUGAAAGGAUACCAGCUAACUCGUCACUAAAAGUAAGGCUAUGAAAACAGAAACAAAACAGUCCUUCCAUGAAUAUUUAUAGCCAUGACUACUGGAAGAAAGAAAACACUGUUGGAAAGACACUGCAACUCUUACAGAAAAAAAAAAGGUAUUUAUUUACCAGAACACCUUUGCCUUCUUCUGGAUUUGGAUACUUCACUGUGGGAAAUUCUGGGUCAGGAUCCUUCUGCUCCGGAACAGCAAAAGGAGGGCUAAGGCCAAAUGCCUUGAAGGCCAACUGCACAAAUUUAUGCCCUACGCCAUGCACAGAAGUAUGAACAAAUUUCAGGUUUGUUUCCUUGUUUAUAUUCCUGAAAUGAAACACAUUAACAGUAAACUUGGCUAUUAUGCCUAA
Molecule: long non-coding RNA, 1300 nt
Organism: Strigops habroptila (Kakapo)
Lineage: Eukaryota; Metazoa; Chordata; Aves; Psittaciformes; Psittacidae
Exons: 2
Source: RefSeq, a predicted model, not a curated record